ACGCUGGCGGCACGCCUAACACAUGCAAGUCGAACGAAGUAGCAAUACUUAGUGGCAGACGGGUGAGUAACAUGUAGGUAUCUGCCCUUUGGCCUGGAAUAACACGAGGAAACUUGUGCUAAUACCGGAUAAGUCUUUACGGAGAAAGCUUUAUGCACCAUUGGAUGAGCCUGCACUUGAUUAGUUUGUUGGUGGGGUAAUGGCCUACCAAGACUGUGAUCAAUAGCUGAUUUGAGAGGAUGAUCAGCCACAUUGGGACUGAGACACGGCCCAAACUCCUACGGGAGGCAGCAGUGGGGAAUCUUGCACAAUGGAGGAAACUCUGAUGCAGCGAUGCCGCGUGAGUGAAGAAGGCCCUUGGGUCGUAAAGCUCUUUCGUCGGGGAAGAAAAUGACUGUACCCGAAUAAGAAGGUCCGGCUAACUUCGUGCCAGCAGCCGCGGUAAUACGAAGGGACCUAGCGUAGUUCGGAAUUACUGGGCUUAAAGAGUUCGUAGGUGGUUGAAAAAGUUGGUGGUGAAAUCCCAGAGCUUAACUCUGGAACUGCCAUCAAAACUUUUCAGCUAGAGUAUGAUAGAGGAAAGCAGAAUUUCUAGUGUAGAGGUGAAAUUCGUAGAUAUUAGAAAGAAUACCAAUUGCGAAGGCAGCUUUCUGGAUCAUUACUGACACUGAGGAACGAAAGCAUGGGUAGCGAAGAGGAUUAGAUACCCUCGUAGUCCAUGCCGUAAACGAUGUGUGUUAGACGUUGGAAAUUUAUUUUCAGUGUCGCAGGGAAACCGAUAAACACACCGCCUGGGAAGUACGACCGCAAGGUUAAAACUCAAAUGAAUUGACGGGGACCCGCACAAGUAGUGGAGCAUGUGGUUUAAUUCGAAGAUACGCGCAGAACCUUACCAACACUUGACAUGUUCGUCGCGACUCUAAGAGAUUAGAGUUUUCGGUUCGGCCGGACGAAACACAGGUGCUGCAUGGCUGUCGUCAGCUCGUGUCGUGAGAUGUUGGGUUAAGUCCCGCAACGAGCGCAACCCUCACUUUUAGUUGCCAUCAUUAAGUUGGGCACUCUGAAAGAACUGCCAGUGAUAAGCUGGAGGAAGGUGGGGAUGACGUCAAGUCCUCAUGGCCCUUACGUGUUGGGCUACACACGUGCUACAAUGGUAUCUACAACAGGAAGCAAGACUGCGAAGUUAAGCAAAUCCUUAAAAGAUACCUCAGUUCGGAUUGCACUCUGCAACUCGAGUGCAUGAAGCUGGAAUUACUAGUAAUCGUGGAUCAGCGUGCCACGGUGAAUGCGUUCCCGGGUCUUGUACACACCGCCCGUC
This 1318-nucleotide ribosomal RNA is filed under the name uncultured Alphaproteobacteria bacterium. RNAcentral describes it as "uncultured alpha proteobacterium 16S ribosomal RNA". It matches the Rfam family "Bacterial small subunit ribosomal RNA", at positions 33 to 1398 of the family's 1533-position model. The record is from RNAcentral. Lineage: Bacteria; Pseudomonadati; Pseudomonadota; Alphaproteobacteria.